Molecule: ribosomal RNA, 252 nt
Filed under: uncultured bacterium
Lineage: Bacteria
Description: partial 16S ribosomal RNA
Rfam family: Bacterial small subunit ribosomal RNA
Source: RNAcentral
UACGUGGGUCCCGAGCGUUGUCCGGAUUUAUUGGGCGUAAAGCGAGCGCAGGUGGUUUAUUAAGUCUGGUGUAAAAGGCAGUGGCUCAACCAUUGUAUGCAUUGGAAACUGGUAGACUUGAGUGCAGGAGAGGAGAGUGGAAUUCCAUGUGUAGCGGUGAAAUGCGUAGAUAUAUGGAGGAACACCGGUGGCGAAAGCGGCUCUCUGGCCUAUAACUGACACUGAGGCUCGAAAGCGUGGGGAGCAAACAGG